GCUCUGCAGUCAGGCCAGGACUCAGUCCACUUUCCGUUGACAAAUAAGCAACGCGGGAUCUGAAUAUGAAAAUGAAGUAGUUAACUCGGGCUACUCGGGCAUUCAGAAUCGUCGCAGGUUAAAUUUAGGUAACACAGUUGCCAUGAUAGCAAGAACCUCGGUAGCUCCAGCUUCUAGAGUGAUUCCUCGAAGAAGGGGCAAUCCAUCGGAUCCAGACGCUUCUACUCCGCGUAGCUGCAAGUGAGGAUGCUGAAGACACGGCACGGGUCUCAGUGGUAGAGCGUAAACUUCCGGGCCCAGGAUUCCAUGCACUGAAAAUUUUUCUUUCAUCUUCUGUCUUUGUUUAACCCUUGAGGUAGUUGUUUCGAGAUAGUCACGUUCAGUUAGGUUUCAAUCAGGAAUGCGGAAGAGUACCUCUAGGUUCGUGAACCCCGUAUCCAGGAUCGAUUGGCGCUAUGCUGUGCCUGCGGUUCGUUCUGACGCCGCCCUGCAGGAGAUUGGCCUCGCUGACGCUUUUGAAACGUGGAUUGUCC
Molecule: long non-coding RNA, 533 nt
Organism: Hylaeus volcanicus
Lineage: Eukaryota; Metazoa; Arthropoda; Insecta; Hymenoptera; Colletidae
Exons: 3
Source: RefSeq, a predicted model, not a curated record